GUCGGGCGCGGCGGCGCGCACGCAGGCCUCGCCUCUCCCGGGCCUGCUCUCUCACGCCGGCCGCCGGGCGGGCGCGCACGCCGAGUUACGCUCGGAGGAGGAAGCGCAACCCCUUUCCCCUCCCUCGCUGCCCCUGGCCCAGCGGGAGCCCCCCCAGUGCGCCUGUGCGGAGGCCUGCUUGAUUAUGUGUGCCCUCUCCGGGCUCCAGCGUUAGCGGCCGGGUGGAGGUGGGGAGGGAAGACAACGAGGAGGAGGAGGAGGAGGAGGCGGUGGAGGGGAGGUGGGGGGAGUCAGCAAGGACAUGGCUCCUGACUCCUGUGCGGAACGUGAGUGACUGAGCGGCAAAGCCCGAAUGGUCUCUAGCGACCGGCCCGUGUCACUGGAGGACGAGGUCUCCCAUAGUAUGAAGGAGAUGAUUGGAGGCUGUUGCGUUUGCUCAGACGAGAGAGGCUGGGCCGAGAACCCGCUGGUUUAUUGCGACGGGCACGGCUGCAGCGUCGCGGUGCAUCAAGCUUGCUAUGGCAUUGUUCAAGUACCCACAGGACCAUGGUUUUGCAGGAAAUGUGAAUCUCAGGAGAGAGCGGCCAGAGUGAGAUGUGAACUGUGUCCUCAUAAGGAUGGAGCUUUAAAAAGAACAGAUAAUGGCGGUUGGGCUCAUGUGGUUUGUGCCCUGUAUAUUCCAGAGGUACAGUUUGCCAAUGUUUCUACAAUGGAACCAAUUGUUUUACAGUCUGUUCCACAUGAUCGUUAUAAUAAGACUUGCUACAUUUGUGAUGAACAAGGAAGAGAAAGCAAAGCAGCCACUGGUGCUUGCAUGACAUGUAAUAAACAUGGAUGUCGACAGGCUUUCCAUGUGACAUGUGCUCAGUUUGCCGGACUGCUUUGUGAAGAGGAAGGUAACGGUGCAGAUAAUGUCCAAUAUUGUGGCUACUGUAAAUACCAUUUUAGUAAGCUGAAAAAGAGCAAACGGGGAACUAAUAGGUCAUAUGAUCAAAGUUUAAGUGAUUCUUCCUCUCACUCUCAGGAUAAACAUCAUGAGAAAGAGAAAAAAAAAUAUAAAGAAAAGGACAAACACAAACAAAAACAUAAGAAGCAACCAGAACCAUCACCUGCAUUGGUUCCUUCCUUGACUGUUACUACAGAAAAAACUUAUACAAGCACUAGCAGCAAUUCUAUAUCUGGAUCCUUGAAGCGCUUGGAAGAUACUGCAGCUCGAUUUACAAAUGCGAAUUUCCAGGAAGUCUCUUCGCACACUACUAGUGCAAAAGAUGUUUCAGAGGCUAGAGGGUCAGAGUGCAAAGGGAAGAAAUCUUCGGCUCACAGCUCAGGUCAAAGGGGAAGAAAGCCUGGUGGAAGGAAUCCAGGAACGACUGUGUCAGCUGCUAGUCCUUUCCAGCAAGGCAGUUUUUCAGGAACUCCAGGCAGUGUAAAAUCAUCUUCGGGAAGUUCUGUACAGUCUCCCCAGGAUUUCUUGAGCUUUACAGACCCAGAUCUGCGUAAUGACAGUUAUACUCACUCCCAGCAGUCAUCAUCAACCAAAGAUGUACAUAAAGGAGAGUCUGGAAACCAGGAAGGGGGGGUAAAUAGUUUUAGUUCCAUAAUUGGUCUCCCUUCAGCCUCAGCUGUUAUUUCGCAGCCUAAAAGCUUUGAAAAUUCACCUGGAGAUUUGGGUAAUUCCAGCCUCCCUACAGCAGGAUAUAAGCGGGCUCAAACUUCUGGCAUAGAAGAAGAAACUGUAAAGGAAAAGAAAAGAAAAGGCAAUAAGCAAAGCAAGCACGGGCCUGGGAGACCAAAAGGAAACAGAAAUCAGGAGAGUGCUGCUCAUCUCUCAGUCUCGUCUGCCUCUCCAACGUCGUCUGUAGCAUCAGCUGCAGGGAGUGUCACCAGCUCUAGUCUUCAGAAAUCCCCCACGCCGCUCAGGAAUGGGAGUGUGCAGAGCCUCAGUGUGGGCUCCUCUCCACUUGGUUCAGAAAUUUCCAUGCAGUAUCGGCACGAUGGAGCUUGUCCAACAACUACUUUCUCAGAGUUGCUGAAUGCAAUACACAAUGGUAUUUAUAACAGCAAUGAUGUAGCAGUAUCAUUUCCAAAUGUAGUAUCUGGCUCAGGAUCGAGUACUCCUGUCUCCAGUUCUCAUUUACCUCAGCAACCUUCUGGGCAUUUACAGCAAGUGGGCGCUCUCUCCCCGUCAGCUGGGUCAUCUGCACCCUCUGCUGUUGCUGCAACUCAGGCAAAUACCCUAUCUGGAUCGUCUCUUAAUCAGGCAUCAUCUCAUAUGUAUGGCAAUAGAUUAAAUUCAACUUCAUCAAUGGCAGCUCUUAUAGCUCAGUCGGAAAACAAUCAAACAGAUCAAGAUCUUGGAGACAAUAGCCGUAGCCUUGCUGGCAGAGGAAGCUCACCCAGAGGAAGUCUCUCACCAAGGUCCCCUGUAAGCAACUUACAGAUCCGCUAUGACCAGCCAGGCAACAGCAGUUUGGAAAACCUGCCCCCAGUAGCAGCCAGCAUAGAGCAGCUUCUGGAGAGGCAGUGGAGUGAAGGACAGCAGUUUUUAUUAGAACAGGGCACUCCUAGUGACAUUUUAGGGAUGCUGAAGUCAUUACAUCAACUUCAAGUAGAAAAUCGAAGAUUAGAGGAACAGAUUAAAAACUUGACCGCCAAAAAGGAGCGCCUUCAGUUACUGAAUGCGCAGCUCUCAGUGCCUUUCCCAACGAUCGCAGCAAACCCCAGCCCCUCUCACCAGAUGCACGCGUUUCCAGCACAGAGUGCUCCUACUACUGAUUCCUUGAACAGCAGUAAGAGCCCUCAUCUAGGAAACAACUUUUUACCUGAUAAUUCUCUUCCUGUAUUAAAUCAGGACUUAACCUCCAGCGGACAAAGCACCAGCAGCUCAUCGGCUCUUUCUACUCCACCUCCUGCCGGGCAGAGUCCAGCUCAGCAGGGCUCAGGCGUUAGUGGAGUUCAGCAGGUCAAUGGUGUGACAGUGGGGGCGCUGGCUAGUGGAAUGCCGACUGUAACAUCCACCAUUCCUGCCGUGCCUGGAGUGGGUGGAAUAAUUGGAGCUUUGCCAGGUAACCAACUGGCAAUUAAUGGCAUUGUAGGAGCUUUAAAUGGGGUUAUUCAGACCCCUGUCACGAUGUCCCAGAACCCUACCCCCCUCACCCACACAACUGUACCACCUAAUGCAACACAUCCAAUGCCAGCUACACUGACUAACAGUGCCUCAGGACUAGGAUUACUUUCUGACCAGCAAAGACAAAUAUUUCUUCAUCAACAGCAAUUCCAGCAGUUGUUAAAUUCACAACAGCUCACACCAUAUCAGAGUAAAGAAGAAAAGGGACAAGGCGGGCUGUCCCGCUGGCGUGUCUGGGCCGGGCACUCACCCCUCCCGCGUGUUCUUGUUAAGGAGCAGCACCAGGCGCUUCUGUACCAGCUGGUGCAGCACCACCAGCAGCAGCAGCACCACCAGCCCGACCUCCAGCAGCUGCAGAUCCCGGGACCCACGCAGAUUCCCAUCAACAACCUGCUCGCGGGCACGCAGGCGCCUGCCCUCCACUCAGCCACCACCAACCCGUUCCUCACCAUCCACGGUGACAAUGCAAGUCAGAAGGUAACUGUCUACUUUACUGGAGUAUAAAUGUUUCCCCUAAAUUCCAGUUGAGGGCAGAACCCUGUUAGAGGAAGGAUAUUGGGAUAUAGAAUGGAGACUGGACACCAGGAAAAGGAAGAAGGGAAAGAAUGAGAGACUUAGUGAUAAAAGUGGGCCUGUUGCUCAAGAGAAAAGUUGACAGUUGAGAAAAAAACACCUAGAAAUGGCCUAUCCUGCUGUCCUAGCACUUCAUCUGGCUGCUGUUGCAGUCCUUUUACUACACCUAUGAAGAAAUGCAACAAGAAACCAGCUGCACGAUAAAGGAUUAAUUGCCAUGAGAGCAUUCUUGUAAGGUUUUGGUUGAUGUUGCUUUGUUGCACUGAAAUGAAAUUCCCAUAUCCCCUACCCCUCUCCCAGAUUAUUUUGAACCUUGAAAGAAAAUUUAAUGGCUAACUUUGGUCAGUGAAAUAAUUUACAUGGCAAUGAGUUUAUCAACUUAAGAGAAAUUGAAUAUAGUUGGUGCACAACUAAUUUUGAUUAUAAAUUGCAGAGAUGACUAGCAAAACUAAAGACUUGUUCCAUUUAUAAACCUUUUGAUUUUAUUGUACCAGUUGGAACAUGAAAUAUGAUCUUUUGUUUGGGUUACAGUGCAUUUGCUCUGUGAGUCAAACCUUAAAACAAAUUUCAAGGAACUGUUUAAUUUCUUCUUCUAGAGUUUUAUUGGUUAAAUAUUACAAAUAAAUAGGUCAUCCACUGGGACUUGGCAAUCUUUGUUAUAAAAAUUUCCUUUCUAAUGGGAUUUGGCCAAUUUUGGUAAUCAAGUUAGGAUGGUAAAUGUCUGCUUCUGCUAAAGUUAAUUUUCUUUUGCUAAAUGCUUUUUCUUUAGUGUUAAGACCUACUCAUAUUUUGAAGAAACCUUGAGUUAAGUGAGCUCUAAGGCUGCUGGGGGAACCAGCUCAAUUCAGAAUGAAAGAGGGGCCACUCUGGAAACUGCUGGUAGGGUUUGGCCUGGAUCAAGUGCCUGUUAGUACCUGCCUUGUGCUGAAGUGGCUCUGGUCAGCUGAGUAGCAACAGCAGCCUUCCCCAUGGUUCUGCCUUUAUUGAGAACUUUCUAUGCCACUGUAGAUAGCUCAGGCGAAGCUAUUACCUGGGUAUUUAUCCACUAAUGAGUCACAAGAAAAAUGUGUGGAUUUGGUAAGAAUUUUCUUUUUUUCUUUAGUUAGACAACUUCUCGUUGUUAACAGUGAUUUCAAACAAACAAAACAAGACAAAAAAACCCACCACAGCAGUUCUUGAAACAGGUGAAAUCUAUGUUACAGCCCUUCCAUGUUGGGUAGCCCCACUCCUGGGGUGACAGUGUAGCAGAGUAUAAAUUAAACAAUUGGGGAUGUAAUCAUUGAACUGUUCUUGAAUGUGUGAAUUAUUAGUGGAAAAAAGACCCAGAUGUAAUUAGACCUCCACUGUGUACUUAGCUGGAAGAACAUGUUAAUUCUGCAAUAUGUCUCUUGGUUAAACAUUGCACAGUUCUUACCUCAUUUCUGUAAAUAAGGUUUUGUGAAUCUGUUUUGUAUUGUGAAAAAUUCAUAAGAUAACAUUGAUAUUUUGAUUUGUAAUAUUUCUAAUUGGUAGAUUUAAUUGAAAAGUAAAAUUAAUUUAUUUUUAUAUGUUCAGGGGAAUUUUAAAGAAAGUCAAAUCUUUUGUAGAUAAUUACAAAAAAAUCGGUGUGGUUUAUUUUACUUAUUUAACCCACUGGUUGUUAUUCUGUAACAAUUUGUAUAAAUGGUAAAUUUUGAAUGUGUUGUUAUUUUACUUAGAUGUAAAAUUCCACAUGUAUUAAAGAAAAUGUACAAAGUUUUUGUUAAUAAAAUUUAAUAAUGUUUAUAGCUCC
Cervus elaphus (red deer) is the source of this 5471-nucleotide RNA transcript. It is a transcript of the gene named MLLT10 histone lysine methyltransferase DOT1L cofactor, with no coding region annotated. The record is from RefSeq and is a predicted model, not a curated record. NCBI's taxonomy places the organism in Eukaryota, Metazoa, Chordata, Mammalia, Artiodactyla, Cervidae. The transcript has 24 exons.